This 253-nucleotide ribosomal RNA is filed under the name uncultured bacterium. RNAcentral's name for it is "partial 16S ribosomal RNA". It matches the Rfam family "Bacterial small subunit ribosomal RNA", at positions 524 to 776 of the family's 1533-position model. The record is from RNAcentral.
UACGAAGGGGGCUAGCGUUGCUCGGAAUCACUGGGCGUAAAGCGCACGCAGGCGGCUUUCUAAGUCAGGGGUGAAAUCCUGGAGCUCAACUCCAGAACUGCCUUUGAUACUGGAGAGCUUGAGUCCGGGAGAGGUGAGUGGAACUCCGAGUGUAGAGGUGAAAUUCGUAGAUAUUCGGAAGAACACCAGUGGCGAAGGCGGCUCACUGGCCCGGUACUGACGCUGAGGUGCGAAAGCGUGGGGAGCAAACAGG